RNA transcript from Oryzias latipes (Japanese medaka), 501 nucleotides. RefSeq lists it as uncharacterized. NCBI's taxonomy places the organism in Eukaryota, Metazoa, Chordata, Actinopteri, Beloniformes, Adrianichthyidae. The record is from RefSeq and is a predicted model, not a curated record.
UGUUAAGUCGGUCAGUAUUUAAAAAUCUUUGUUUUUCCUUUUUUUGUUUUUGCUAUCAUACUAAUUUAAAUAUUACAGUAACUGAAAGCUUUAAUACUUUGACAGAUCAGCCGAGGUGUCCUGCAAAGAGCUGCAAUACCAGUUCAAGUGGAGAUACUGAAGUGGACUCAGAUGACACCAUAAUAUUACAACACAGUCCUACAACAAGACGAAGAGUUGAAGACACCUCUCUUGCCAAAGUGGUUGCUGUCAUUGGAGAGGAUGCAUCAUCCGUUGAAGGUCAUGUGAAUGUCCUGCAUAUCCAGUACAGCAAGGUGCGAGAGGAUAUACCAAAGAAGUACCCUUUCUUGAAGACAACCUCAGGGUUGUUUGAUGAUGUUGACCGAAUGCAUCCAUCACCUGUGAGUUUAAGACAGCGCUUCAAGGACGGCGUUUACCAGUAUUGUGCCAAAGGUGCUUGAGCUUGUUCAAAGAAAAGCUCCAUUAGCCAAAGUCUCCAAA